Molecule: ribosomal RNA, 253 nt
Filed under: uncultured bacterium
Lineage: Bacteria
Description: partial 16S ribosomal RNA
Rfam family: Bacterial small subunit ribosomal RNA
Source: RNAcentral
UACGUAGGGUGCAAGCGUUGUCCGGAAUUAUUGGGCGUAAAGGGUGUGUAGGUGGCGCCGUAAGUCGGGUGUGAAAUCUCGGAGCUUAACUCCGAAACUGCAUUCGAUACUGCCGUGCUUGAGGACUGGAGAGGAGACUGGAAUUUACGGUGUAGCGGUGAAAUGCGUAGAUAUCGUAAGGAAGACCAGUGGCGAAGGCGGGUCUCUGGACAGUUCCUGACGCUGAGGCACGAAGGUCAGGGGAGCAAACGGG